RNAcentral lists this ribosomal RNA (459 nucleotides) under uncultured Rhodocyclaceae bacterium. RNAcentral describes it as "bacterial SSU rRNA". It matches the Rfam family "Bacterial small subunit ribosomal RNA", at positions 923 to 1382 of the family's 1533-position model. Lineage: Bacteria; Pseudomonadati; Pseudomonadota; Betaproteobacteria; Rhodocyclales; Rhodocyclaceae. The record is from RNAcentral.
GCACAAGCGGUGGAUGAUGUGGAUUAAUCGAUGCAACGACGAAAACCUUACCUACCCUUGACAUGUCCGGAAUCCCGAAGAGAUUUGGGAGUGCUCGCAAGAGAGCCGGAACACAGGUGCUGCAUGGCUGUCGUCAGCUCGUGUCGUGAGAUGUUGGGUUAAGUCCCGCAACGAGCGCAACCCUUGUCAUUAGUUGCCAUCAUUUGGUUGGGCACUCUAAUGAGACUGCCGGUGACAAACCGGAGGAAGGUGGGGAUGACGUCAAGUCCUCAUGGCCCUUAUGGGUAGGGCUUCACACGUCAUACAAUGGUCGGUACAGAGGGUUGCCAACCCGCGAGGGGGAGCUAAUCCCACAAAGCCGAUCGUAGUCCGGAUCGCAGUCUGCAACUCGACUGCGUGAAGUCGGAAUCGCUAGUAAUCGUGGAUCAGCAUGUCACGGUGAAUACGUUCCCGGGUCUU